UACGUAGGGGGCAAGCGUUGUCCGGAUUUAUUGGGCGUAAAGAGCUCGUAGGCGGUUUGGUAAGUCGGAUGUGAAAUUUCCAGGCUCAACCUGGAGGGGUCAUUCGAUACUGCCAUGACUAGAGUUCGGUAGGGGAGUGUGGAAUUCCUGGUGGAGCGGUGAAAUGCGCAGAGAUCAGGAGGAACACCCGUAGCGAAGGCGGCACUCUGGGCCGAUACUGACGCUGAGGAGCGAAAGCGUGGGGAGCGAACAGG
Molecule: ribosomal RNA, 254 nt
Filed under: uncultured bacterium
Lineage: Bacteria
Description: partial 16S ribosomal RNA
Rfam family: Bacterial small subunit ribosomal RNA
Source: RNAcentral